CGGGUGACUAGUUGUUGAUGCAAUGACACUGAUGGAAGAACUUUUAAAACAUAUUAGGCGUUCAAAUACACACAAGAGCAGAAAGAAAAUUCUGAAAUGGAUGCAGAAACGUGGUAUCCUGGCGACGACGAUGAAGUGCGCAAAAUGCAACCGUCACAUGCAUCUGGUGAAAUGCCAUGUCAAGGAUGGGCUGUGGUGGGUCUGUAAGCAUCAUAAAAGUUUCCCAAAGUAUGUACGUAAUGGCUCAAUAUUCACCAAGUCUCACAUCCCUCUGACAAAAUGGCUUGAGUUCAUGCACAGAUUUGCCCAAGGUCUGCAUUGCUGCUGUCAAGCGACAGAGGAAAAGAUGUAUGAGGAUUGGUGGUCGUCAUCAAGUUGUUGUUAUUGACGAGAGCAAAUUUGCCCACAAACGAAAGUACCAUCAUUGUCGAUGUGGCAACACUUGGCGCCGUGAACGGCAGUGGGUCUUUGGGAUGUUGGAGGUCGACAAGAAGUCCAGAAGACCCAUUCUGAGACUUGUCAGGGAUCGCAGAAGGAAGACACUUAUAGGUCAUAUUAGACGCCAUGUCAGACCCAGAACAUCCAUCCUCAGUGAUGAAUGGCGUGCCUACAAAGGGCAACUUGCCCAGUAUGGGUAUGAUCAUUAUUCGGUCUGCCAUAAAAACAACUUUGUGGACCGAGAGACUGGUGCUCAUACUCAGCAUAUUGAGCGUGCAUAGUAAAGCUACAAGCUGGAAGUAUGGCGUCACAGAGGGAAUCGUACUCCUGAAUCACUCAAGCUUCAUCUUAAGAUGAUAGAAUGGCACCACUGGUUGGGUGUACACCAUUACAAUGGCGUGUUGGGCAGACUUUUCCAUGAUUUUUUUUUUUUUU
Long non-coding RNA from Gasterosteus aculeatus aculeatus (three-spined stickleback), 873 nucleotides. Lineage: Eukaryota; Metazoa; Chordata; Actinopteri; Perciformes; Gasterosteidae. The record is from Ensembl.